GAUGAACGCUGGCGGCGUGCCUAAUACAUGCAAGUCGAGCGAACAGACGAGGAGCUUGCUCCUCUGACGUUAGCGGCGGACGGGUGAGUAACACGUGGAUAACCUACCUAUAAGACUGGGAUAACUUCGGGAAACCGGCGCUAAUCCCGGAUAAUAUAUUGAACCGCACGGUUCAAUAGUGAAAGACGGUUUUGCUGUCACUUAUAGAUGGAUCCGCGCCGCAUUAGCUAGUUGGUAAGGUAACGGCUUACCAAGGCAACGAUGCGUAGCCGACCUGAGAGGGUGAUCGGCCACACUGGAACUGAGACACGGUCCAGACUCCUACGGGAGGCAGCAGUAGGGAAUCUUCCGCAAUGGGCGAAAGCCUGACGGAGCAACGCCGCGUGAGUGAUGAAGGUCUUCGGAUCGUAAAACUCUGUUAUUAGGGAAGAACAAAUGUGUAAGUAACUAUGCACGUCUUGACGGUACCUAAUCAGAAAGCCACGGCUAACUACGUG
This 497-nucleotide ribosomal RNA is filed under the name uncultured bacterium. Its description in RNAcentral is "partial 16S ribosomal RNA". It matches the Rfam family "Bacterial small subunit ribosomal RNA", at positions 28 to 507 of the family's 1533-position model. The record is from RNAcentral.